Long non-coding RNA from Puntigrus tetrazona (Sumatra barb), 4443 nucleotides. RefSeq lists it as uncharacterized. The transcript is spliced from 3 exons. Lineage: Eukaryota; Metazoa; Chordata; Actinopteri; Cypriniformes; Cyprinidae. The record is from RefSeq and is a predicted model, not a curated record.
CCAAUCUUCAAUUGGCUCGUUUAGAUACACUCGAAGUAGAUUGGUCUCUCGAAGCGAGAUCCCAAUUCGUCGGUCAUCCGACGUGACUCGGAGUGACCGACUGAAAGGGAACUACAGUUCUCUGUGGUCGCAUGUAAAGUUGUUACGUUGACUUUUAGUUGCAUAUAGUACAUAUCAUGGUAUAUAGUAUAUAAUAUAUAUCAUGCUGUUAUUCAGUUGUAAGAGGAUGUCCAUCAUCACUCUCUAUGAAACUAGAGGAUAAUGUAUUUACAUCUUGUUUCAUGAUUCACAAAGUGCCCUGUGUGGUUAAGUGAUUGUGAAGCCAUGCAUUGUCACGGCUCGCGAGGGCGAGGAAGUCCUUUGUUCAGCCCGAGAGAGAGCGAUCCUCCUGCUCCAGCAGGAUGAUGAGGAAGUUAGGGUCAACGUACGAGGGAAAACAUUAAGGCAAAAUAAAAAACAAAAGGGAGAAAACGCCUCUAUUCAACCUUUACUGGUCUGACUAACUGUCACAGUGUGGUUUGCGAGAAAAGGAGCACUCGACGAGAAUAUAAAGUUUAUGACUUUAAUCAUUCACAUAUAAAGAAAUAAUACCUCAGGCAGACAGGCAGAUAAACAAAUUCACACAUAAUAUAGACGAAGUCAGACAAACUGAACUGAAACAACAGGACUUAAAUACACACAGUAAAUACUUAAUAAAUGAGACACAACUAAAGACGAUAAGACAAUUAACCAAAAGUGGGUCACAUUGGGACAUGAAAACAACACAGAGUCCACAUGUGUGACACAUUCUAGUCAUUAUUCAACCCAUUUUUCAUGCAUUACGAUAUUAUUAUUAUUAUUAUUAUUAUUAUUUAUAUUACACUAUUUGAUGUCUAAACUAGAUGUAAACUGCAAAAUCAUCAAAUAUGAUGAAUUUGAUCACAAUUUUAAGGCAUUUGAAAUUCCUUUCAUGGCCAGUAGAAGAGAAGGACUUGAGGAUGAUCCGAAAGUUGACAAAUUGUUGAAUAUGCCAAAGAUGUCCUCUGAGUACCAAAUUAAGUGGAGGUAAUGAUGGGCAAGAAUUGAUUUGUUAGACGAACAGGACAGCAGCUCUGAAUCCAAGCGGUCAGUGGAGCCAGCAUCGGCAAGGGGGGAUAGUUCCCUCACAGAGAGAUCAACACAUGACCAAUUACAUCCCAUACUACAUCAAUCAAACAGCAUUACAGCUGGGCUGAGCAAAGAACAGAAGGAGAAUUUACUCAGAGCCUCCUCGAUCUCCAGGUGAAAUGGAGACAAAGGCCCACAUUUCAUAAAGCAAGGAUGGCUACCCCAAGAAGUAUGUCCCUGUGUUUUUUUUUAUGUUCACGGUGUCCUAUAUGAAAUGUAAUGUGGUAUUUGCAAAACUAUUUAAAAACAUGUUAAAAAUUCCAUAGAUAAAGUGGUUGUUUAUUUGCAUUGCUUGUUUUACUCUUUUCAAAAGUGGAUGCUCAACAUAACACCUUUGUAGGUCAACAUCAACAACAUAGAUGCCCUGAAUCUUUAUUGACCUGUGCACAUAUGUUGAAAUAUGAUGAAAACUUUAUAUCUGAAUGUAUACAACAUGUUACAGGGCAAGAUAAACACAGUCUUGUCAAUUAAAGAUCCCUAAUAUACCUAGGAGCCUGAUCAUGCAGAGCCUUAUACACAAACAUCAGCAUCUUGUAAUGUAUUCAAUAUUUUACAGGAAGCCAGUGCAAUGAUACCAACACAGGUGUUAUAUAUUCUCAUUUUCUAGUGUUAGUUAAAAGUCUUGCUGCAGCAUUUUGAACAUAUUGAAGACACAUAAUGUUUUGGUUACGUAUGUAACCUUCAUUCCCUGAUGGAGGGAACGGAGGCAUUAUGUCCUGAUGACAGACUGGGGUCUUGCAUGGAGCCCUUAUUAGCUCUGAUAAGAGAAAACUGCAAUGAAAUUUGUCAAGUAGUUAACUAAUCCUGAGCCCCUCCCCAUCACAUGGAUAUAAAUAGGCUACAGGUGUAACCACUCAUCAGCUUUGCUGAGGAGCCGAAACCGAGUCUCAGCUCUCAGCGAUGGUUUGAAGUUGUGGCAAGGGGACAUAACGUCUCUGUUCCCUCCAUCAGGGGACGAAGGUUACAUACGUAACCGAUACGUUCCCUGUCUGUCAGUCACUACAAGUUAUGUUGUGACGACAGACUGAGUUCCAAUGGAAAACGCUGCAACCUGAACUCGUUACUACCUGAUUGCACUGCAACAGUUGGCAAGCAACGCAUGCCAGACUAAUGCCAUGCAGAGGUAACCAUCCCAUUGCCCCAGAGCAAAACGCUGACCCUGGUGCCCACCGGGGACCAGAGGUGAGUACAUGACUACUGGAGAAGCCAACCUGUUCCUUUAUUUAGAAACUUCUAACGGAAAGGAUUUCGAGCUUCCAAGAGGGUGCUAAUCUCUUCUAUUUGUUGACAGUCGGCAGAAAAAUGGGGAAGCGGAGAAUACUACGGAGACCACAUCCUGACCAGGAGAGAGAUGUGGGAGAGAAAGCACUACUCCAAUCGUGCCACAUGGUGCCAAGCCCCUGAGAAAGAAGAUUUUCCCUCAGAGGAAUGCGCCAGGGAGGGGCUUUCAUGAGGAGAUUGAGUCUGAUCGUUGAUGUACGAAACAGUCACAGUGUUGUCCGUACGGAAAUGCACUGCCAAUAGCUCCAGGCACUUGAUGUGCCAAAGCAGACGGGGCCCUGUCCAAAGCCCAGAGGCUGUGUGCCCGUUGCAUGUAGCACCCCAACCUGACAUGGAGGCAUCUGUGGUUACUACCACAUGCUGCGACACUUGCUCUAAGACCACCCUGGCCCAUAGAAAUGCAAGGUCUGUCCAUGGGAUGAAAGUGCGAUGACUCUGCACUCUGUCACACCAUGGACCUGAAGGCCUGGAGGAUGAGGAGAUUGCUCUUUUUCUGUGACAUUUGGAACAGCAGGAAAAUGAAACAGAAUGUUUUCCGCCUGGCCCUCCUCCGGGGGAAAAAGGAGUGCCGCAGUGUUCGCCAUCUCCUGAAGAGCAACUUCUCACCUCUCCGGGCCAUCCGUCUCAGGGUCUCUUCGUCAUCUUCCUGGAGGACUUGGAGGCUACCUGAGGUGGAGUGGGCACCACCCUCCUGUGUGGUGCUCUAUGUGACGGCCUCGAAGGGGUGAGCUUAGCAACAAGCAGGAUGAGACGAAACCCAUGGAGGAGUGCUGGAGGAUCACGCCGGGGCAGGAUGUGCUGGAACACCUCGGUCUGCUGUUAUCCUGCCAAGGACUGCUUAGCGAAGUCCUAAACAGUGUUGCCGAAUAGCAUCCAACAAAACGAAUCUUGUCAGAAUCUCAGCCAGGUUGAGUCAUAAAUGGCGCCCUUAGGUCACCAAAGCAGUCAUUGCCUUCCAGAGGGACCGCAUUGUGACCUUCAUUGCUUGUAGAGCAAAGUCAGCAGUCAUGCGCAGCUCCUGCAUAGACCUCGGGUUGGAGCCACCCUUGUGCAGCUACUUCAAUGGCUUGGCCUGGUGAACGUGCGGGAUUGCCAUGGCAUGCAGUGCAGUAGGCGGCUUGGCCCGCAGCGCUGUAGGCCUUAGCAGCAAGGGCUGCCUUGGUCCCACAGGCUUUGGAUGGGAGUGUGUGACAAUUCUGCCAGGUGGCGGCGUUUUACGGGCACAAAUGCACUGCAACCACUCUCUCCACCUGGGGAAUAUCCACAUAACCCCUCGCUGCCCCGCCAUCGAGGGUGGUGAGGGCUGAAAAAGGAGCCAUCCACGACUUCGUCAACUCCUCAUGCACCUCCAGGAAGAAAGGCACUGGGGCGGGCUGCGAUUUAUUAUCACGGCCAGCACCCAGAACAUUUACAUUUAGUCAUUUAGCAGACGCUUUUAUCCAAAGUGACGUACAAAUGAGGUAGGCAAUAGAAGCAAUUUAUAUCAACAAAAGGGCAGCAGUGCAUAACUGCUCUGAGUGGGGUCUUGGCUUACCUAACGCAGACACAAGGCUUUUUUUUUAUUAAAGGAAAGGAUAGGAAAGAACAAGAUAGGAAAGAGCAGGAGAAGAAGAAGAAAGUGCUGGUUGGUUUUGGUUUUUAAAGAUUGCUAGUGACUCUGCUGCCCUAGUGGCAAUGGGCAGAUCGUUCCACCAGCGAGCAACAGACCAGGUGAAGGUGCGCAGGAGUGAUUUUGCACCUUUUUGCGAUGGCACUGCAAGACGCCUUUCGUUUGCAGAGCGUAGGCACCUGGAGGGAACAUAUGAUUUAAUUAGUGAGUGUAAGUACAAGAGAGCGGAGUCUGUGAUUGUCCCGUAGGCCAGCAUCAGGCAUUUCAAUUUGAUGCAGGCAGCUAUAGGAAGCCAGUGUAAACUAAUGAAGAGGGGCAUGACGUGGGCCCUCCUUGGUUCGUUGAAGACCACCCUUGCUGGACCAUCUGAAGAGGUCUGGUUGUAGAGGCUGGGAGGCCAGCAAGGA